GACGAACGCUGGCGGCGUGCUUAACACAUGCAAGUCGAACGGAAAGGCUCCAGCUUGCUGGAGUACUCGAGUGGCGAACGGGUGAGUAACACGUGGGUAAUCUGCCCUGCACUCUGGGAUAAGCCUGGGAAACUGGGUCUAGUACUGGAUAUGACCUUUCUCCUUAUGGGGUUUGGUGGAAAGUUUUUCGGUGUAGGAUGAGCCCGCGGCCUAUCAGCUUGUUGGUGGGGUGAUGGCCUACCAAGGCGACGACGGGUAGCCGGCCUGAGAGGGUGAUCGGCCACAUUGGGACUGAGAUGCGGCCCAGACUCCUACGGGAGGCAGCAGUGGGGAAUAUUGCACAAUGGGCGGAAGCCUGAUGCAGCGACGCCGCGUGAGGGAUGACGGCCUUCGGGUUGUAAACCUCUUUCAGCAGGGACGAAGCGUAAGUGACGGUACCUGCAGAAGAAGCACCGGCUAACUAUGUG
Molecule: ribosomal RNA, 467 nt
Filed under: uncultured bacterium
Lineage: Bacteria
Description: partial 16S ribosomal RNA
Rfam family: Bacterial small subunit ribosomal RNA
Source: RNAcentral